AAGGUACGGAGCCGAAGCGAAAGCGAGUCUUAAUAGGGCGACUAGUUGCAUGCCGUAGACCCGAAACCGGGUGACCUAUCCAUGGCCAGGUUGAAGCGAGGGUAAAACCUCGUGGAGGACCGAACCACGUUGCUGUUGAAAAAGCAUGGGAUGAGCUGUGGAUAGCGGAGAAAUUCCAAUCGAACUCGGAGAUAGCUGGUUCUCCCCGAAAUAGCUUUAGGGCUAGCGUCGGAUAUGUGUAGUGGAGGUAGAGCACUGAAUGGGCUAGGGGGCAUAUCGCUUACCGAACCUUAUCAAACUCCGAAUGCCAUAUACAUUUAGUCCGGCAGUCAGACUACGAAUGAUAAGAUCCGUGGUCAAAAGGGAAACAGCCCAGAUCGUCAGCUAAGGUCCCAAAGUGUAAGUUAAGUGGAAAAGGAUGUGGGAUUUCUAAGACAACUAGGAUGUUGGCUUAGAAGCAGCCACUCAUUUAAAGAGUGCGUAAUAGCUCACUAGUCGAGAGGUCCUGCGCCGAAAAUGUCCGGGGCUAAAACUUACCACCGAAGCUACGGGCUUGCGUAAGCAAGCGGUAGGGGAGCGUCGUAAUCGGGCUGAAGUCGUACCGUAAGGAGCGGUGGACUGAUUACGAGUGAGAAUGUUGGCAUUAGUAGCGAGAUGUAGGUGAGAAUCCUACAGGCCGAAUAUCUAAGGUUUCCUCAGGAAGGCUCGUCCGCUGAGGGUUAGUCGGGACCUAAGCCGAGGCCGAAAGGCGUAGGCGAUGGACAACAGGUUGAUAUUCCUGUACCACUACCAUCGUUAUUAUCGAGGGUGUGACGGAGAAGGAUAGUGUGUGCUAGCGAUUGGAAAUGCUAGUCUAAGCGUUUAGGCAGUUACGGUAGGCAAAUCCGCUGUAACGUUAAUGCUGAGGCGUGAUGGGGAAGGCCCUUGAGGCUGAAGUACAUGAUUCCAUGCUUCCAAGAAAAGCAUCUAGAGAGAGAAGUAGUGCCCGUACCGCAAACCGACACAGGUAGAUGAGGAGAGAAUCCUAAGGCCGGCGGAAGAAUUGCAGUUAAGGAACUAGGCAAAUUGACCCCGUAAGUUAGCGAGAAGGGGUGCCUGCGAGAGCAGGCCGCAGAGAAUAGGCCCAAGCAACUGUUUAGCAAAAACACAGGUCUCUGCUAAAGCGCAAGCUGAUGUAUAGGGGCUGACGCCUGCCCGGUGCUGGAAGGUUAAGGGGAACACUUAGCGCAAGCGAAGGUGUGAACUUAAGCCCCAGUAAACGGCGGCCGUAACUAUAACGGUCCUAAGGUAGCGAAAUUCCUUGUCAGGUAAGUUCU
This 1316-nucleotide ribosomal RNA is filed under the name human gut metagenome. RNAcentral's name for it is "bacterial LSU rRNA". It matches the Rfam family "Bacterial large subunit ribosomal RNA", at positions 655 to 1984 of the family's 2925-position model. The record is from RNAcentral.